AGUGACCCCAACAACCCGUCUGACAGAGCUGAUCACAAGCUUUAAGUUAAAGGAAACAGAAAAGGAGGCUAUAAAUAGAUCAUGAAAAGAAGAACAAGAGCUGGAUCUCAUGAAGGUACAAGGUGACUCCCAGGGCU
This 137-nucleotide long non-coding RNA is filed under the name Capra hircus (goat). RNAcentral describes it as "lncRNA (ENSCHIG00010018998.1)". The record is from RNAcentral. Lineage: Eukaryota; Metazoa; Chordata; Mammalia; Artiodactyla; Bovidae.